Molecule: ribosomal RNA, 461 nt
Filed under: uncultured bacterium
Lineage: Bacteria
Description: bacterial SSU rRNA
Rfam family: Bacterial small subunit ribosomal RNA
Source: RNAcentral
CCUACGGGGGGCUGCAGUAACGAAUAUUCCGCAAUGGGCGCAAGCCUGACGGAGCGACGCCGCGUGAAGGAUGAGGUCCUUCGGGAUGUAAACUUCGAUAGUUGGCUGGAAAGCGAUUCGGGCGAAUAGUCCGGAAAGUUGAUCGGCCAACGAAAGGGGUGGCUAACUCCGUGCCAGCAGCCGCGGUAAGACGGAGACCCCUAGCGUUGUUCGGAAUUACUGGGCUUAAAGGGCGUGUAGGCGGAACGGUAAGUACUUUGUGAAAUCCCCGGGCUCAACCCGGGAAUUGCUUGGUAUACUGCCGUUCUUGAGGCAGGUAGGGGUCACUGGAACCUUAGGUGGAGCGGUGAAAUGCGUAGAUAUCUAAGGGAACGCCUGUGGCGAAAGCGGGUGACUGGGCCUGUCCUGACGCUGAGACGCGAAAGCGUAGGGAGCAAACGGGAUUAGAUACCCCAGUAGUC